This 253-nucleotide long non-coding RNA is filed under the name Capsella rubella. RNAcentral's name for it is "long non-coding RNA (CRUB_LNC002060)". The record is from RNAcentral. Lineage: Eukaryota; Viridiplantae; Streptophyta; Magnoliopsida; Brassicales; Brassicaceae.
AAAAAAUAAAGAAAGAUGUAACAUCUAUACUCACGCUCCUUAUAGUGACGUGGAAAACACGCUCCAACCUUUACGGGGGUGUUUGCUUGCUACGUAUUGCGUCGUCGCUUUUGUUUUUUUUUUUGGUAUUAUUAUUAUUUAUGUUAUAUUAUCCAUUUGUAUACAAAUAACUCAAUAAAAACCUAAGUAUGAUGAUGACUCACUUAUAGAAUAUUUAGUCGAUGAUGGAGGACAUUUUCAAUAUUUAAACCAU